Molecule: transfer RNA, 73 nt
Filed under: Selenomonadaceae bacterium
Lineage: Bacteria; Bacillati; Bacillota; Negativicutes; Selenomonadales; Selenomonadaceae
Description: tRNA-Asn
Rfam family: tRNA
About the family: Transfer RNA (tRNA) molecules are approximately 80 nucleotides in length. Their secondary structure includes four short double-helical elements and three loops (D, anti-codon, and T loops).
Source: RNAcentral
UCCUCGGUAGCUCAGUCGGUAGAGCACCUGACUGUUAAUCAGGGAGUCACUGGUUCGAGUCCAGUUCGGGGAG